UACGAAGGGGGCUAGCGUUGUUCGGAAUUACUGGGCGUAAAGGGCGCGUAGGCGGUCCUGAUCGUCGGAUGUGAAAGGCCUGGGCUCAACCUGGGAAUGGCAUCCGAUACGGCGGGACUGGAGUGUGGGAGAGGUUGGUGGAAUUCCCAGUGUAGAGGUGAAAUUCGUAGAUAUUGGGAAGAACACCGGUGGCGAAGGCGGCCAACUGGACCACAACUGACGCUGAGGCGCGAAAGCUAGGGGAGCAAACAGG
RNAcentral lists this ribosomal RNA (253 nucleotides) under uncultured bacterium. Its description in RNAcentral is "partial 16S ribosomal RNA". It matches the Rfam family "Bacterial small subunit ribosomal RNA", at positions 524 to 776 of the family's 1533-position model. The record is from RNAcentral.